UUCCCCGGCGGCGCCGAUUCGCCACGGCGAGGAGGGCGGAGGCGGCCGGGGUCGCUCGCUGUCCUCGGGGGCGGUGUCUGCACGGCCCGCGGCCCGCGGUCCUCGGGGCGUUUCCGGCCUGGGCGCCGCUUCCCAGGGCCUCGGGUGCGGUCGCUGCGGGCUUCGGGCCACUGCGCUGGCGGUGUAGACGCUUCUGCCCUUGCGAUCCAGCUCAGGCGGCCGCGUGAGGCCCUGCCAGAACUUUCCUCCCGACCCUUGUACUUGCUGUGCACUGCGUGGCUGCUCGUUGAUAACCGGCCUCGGUCUGUCACCCCCGUGCAUCCCGAAGGCGGCGGUACGUGGCGAUCUCCUGCUCCAGCCUCAUCUUCGUGUUGAGAAGCAACUCGUGCUCUUGUAGCUGCCGCUCGAUGCCGCGCCGGACGUCCUGCAGCUCCGUCUCCAGCCCCUCGAUCACCGCCUCCAGGUCCUGCAGCUGCAUCUGGUGCUGCUGCUCGCUGGCCUGCAGGGAGCUCUCGAGGCCCCUUUCCUGCGGACAGAGAGCGGCCUCAGGGAACUAGCGACACCAGAUGGGGUUCGCGCAGACUUAGCCAAGGCCUCGAACUCGCGGUGGUCCUCCUGCCUCAGCCUCCUGAGUGCCAGGAUGACAGGCGUGGCCGGGAGACCCCGUCCUCUCACCACAGCGUGCAGCGACUCGAUCUCCACUUGCAGGUGAUGCCACUGGCGCUGGGCCUCCUUGAGCUCCGCUCGUGCCGCCUUCAGAGCCUCCUUGUCUCUGUCCAUCUUUUUGCUUAUGUCUUCUUCCAGCUGCGAGAAAGCCAAGGACAGCAAAGGAAACAGAGAGCGCUCCUGAAAACGAUGCGUUUCACAGCGGCCUCAGAAAAGCUGUGGUGGAAUCAGUCAUCUCUGAACCGUUAGGCUGCAGAUGCGAGCUCCAGAGCUUUCUGCGCCUGGAGUUAGACAUGUGGGCUCUCAGCUGGAGUCUCAGCCACAGUUCCCUCUGAUGUGAAUGGUACACAUAUAAUUUUUUUUUUUGAGUCGGCAUCUCGCUUUGUAGUUCAGCCUGGCCUUGAACUCACUAUGUAGCCCAGGCGGCUUUGAACUCUGGGUGAUCCUCCUGCCUCAGCCUCCCAAGUGCUGGGGUUACAGGUGUGCGCCACUCCACCCAGCAAAAUCUUUUUAGGAUUUUUUUUUUUUUUGAUGAUUCCUCAGAUUCAACCCUGGGCCUUUGUACUGAGCUACAUCCCUAGCCCUUCUAAAAUUUUUUCAGACAGUAUCUUGUUCAGUAAUUAAGUUGUCCAGGCUGGCCUUGAAUUUAAUCCUCCUGCCUCAGCCUUCCCGAGUACUGGAAUUACAGGUGUGCACCACAAUGCUCGGCUCAGAAGGCAUCUUAAUUUUGGGUAUCUGGGGUUGUAACAAAAACAGUAUCUUAAAGAUUGUUUCUAAAUGUCCUUACAUUAAAAACAAGUGAGAUUUUUAUAUUUGACUUUAUAUGCUUUUAUGCUGAUGUUGGAAUUAAAAGAAGAUAUCUAUUGCCAGAAUUCUCAACAUUUGGCUCCAAGAACUGUAGGAAUAGUGUAUUGAAUUGAUAGUAACAUUUUGCAGCAAAAAUGACAACUUUUUAUGUUCUUAUCAAAUAUGUUUUAAAAUUAAAAAACAGCUUGAUCGUACAAAACAUUUUGUUGAAAGGAACCUGGAGCCAGUACAAGUCUAUCAGUGAAGUUUAGGACAAGAGAACAAAACUGUUCCGUUUUCGGCUUGCUGGGCCUUGUUCUCGGUGUUCACUCAGCAGAGUCACUCGGCAAACUACGCAGACAAUGUGUAGGGUUUUGGAAUCAGAGAACACACACAGGCUGGUGUCUCCUGGACUCUGGAUUUGGAAUGUGGGGCAGCAGCUGGGCUUGUGUCUGUCGUAGCCAGAUUCCCAGGAUGGCCCCUGGUGACCCACAGGUCCCCAGGUUCUUGUCCUUUUGUGGUUCCUUUUGCAUGGUUCCGGUUAUGCCCCAAACAGCAGCCAGCAUCAUGUGCAGGGCCUGGUCACCCCCAGAGUCACACGACACAAUGUGACCGACAUGUAGCCCCCUGAGCUUCAGGGUGGCUACUGUCAUCCAGCAGUCAGUAACUACAACAGCGCAUCCGAUUUAUUUUGUGAUUUAGGGGUGGGUGCUGAGGAGGGAGACUGAGGCCGGAAGCUCUUUCCUGAUAAUUAAAUCAUCAGGGUUUCUUGAAUCCAUCUCCAGUGACUUUCUAAGUUAUUUGUGGAAAAGGUUCUCUAAAGUAGUUUUAUGUUUAAAAAUGUCCUAACUCAAAAUUAUACUGUAGUCUUAUUUUUAAAAUUUGAAUUUGCUUAUUUCAGCCCUGAAUUUUGUAAGCAACACUUGAAUUUCUACUAUUGCUAAAUAGUUUACUUGGUUUAUAAUUUUCAGGAGUUGUCAUCUAUUAAUGUUUUCCCCUUCUCCUUAUAAAAGAUAAGUGAACGAUUCCAGUGCUUAAAUCAAAAGUCCCAUGACUUUGCUUAAAUCUAAAGUUCUAAUCAUUUUUUAUGAAACCUGAAUAUGUUACCCAGGGGUAGAAUUUAUAAUGUCACUAACAUGAGUUACUAAUAGAAUAAAAGCCUGUGAUUUCCUAGCA
Heterocephalus glaber (naked mole-rat) is the source of this 2628-nucleotide long non-coding RNA. RefSeq lists it as uncharacterized. NCBI's taxonomy places the organism in Eukaryota, Metazoa, Chordata, Mammalia, Rodentia, Bathyergidae. The record is from RefSeq and is a predicted model, not a curated record.